Long non-coding RNA from Carassius auratus (goldfish), 538 nucleotides. RefSeq lists it as uncharacterized. The transcript has 3 exons. The record is from RefSeq and is a predicted model, not a curated record. NCBI's taxonomy places the organism in Eukaryota, Metazoa, Chordata, Actinopteri, Cypriniformes, Cyprinidae.
UGGCAAAUAAGCUUAAAGAAUAAUCCUUUUUUAUUAAAACUGGAGUUAAGAACGCGCUCGUGCGCUCCAGGUGCUCUAAAGAGUGGCUGUCGUGACGUCACUUUUGCGGGAAAAACACGCGUGUGUUUCUGGUCAACAGCAGAGGGCGAAAGAGAGCCGCAUUCGGUCUGUGAAUGGCGCUCGUUAUUCAGCAUCACAACAUGGAGUGACAUCCAACAAAAAUCACUCAAGGAGAAAGAUUCCAGAAGGUUCCAAAGAACCCCAGAAAAAUAUCAUCAUCUGGAGGCCUCUCUCGUAUUGGCUAAGGCUGUCCUGGACUCCACCAUCAGAGACUGAACAAGAAUGGUGUGCAUGGCAGGACAACAAGAUGGUAUCCAAGAACAUUUCGCCAAAGACUGUGUGAAUGAGCCAGAAGACUAUGAAAAUAAUGUUUUUCUUGUCAACAAAUGAAUGUCAGAAAUAAAAUGGAUAGAAAUAAAGGAGUGUUAAAUAGGACCAAAAAAAGACACGAACAGCUAACAGUGGAUAAUCUCGGAAU